RNAcentral lists this ribosomal RNA (254 nucleotides) under uncultured bacterium. RNAcentral's name for it is "partial 16S ribosomal RNA". It matches the Rfam family "Bacterial small subunit ribosomal RNA", at positions 524 to 776 of the family's 1533-position model. The record is from RNAcentral.
CACGUAGGGUGCGAGCGUUGUCCGGAAUUAUUGGGCGUAAAGAGCUCGUAGGCGGUGUGUCGCGUCGGCCGUGAAAACCUGGGGCUUAACUCUGGGCGUGCGGUCGAUACGGGCAUCACUAGAGUUCGGCAGGGGAGACUGGAAUUCCUGGUGUAGCGGUGAAAUGCGCAGAUAUCAGGAGGAACACCGGUGGCGAAGGCGGGUCUCUGGGCCGAUACUGACGCUGAGGAGCGAAAGCAUGGGUAGCGAACAGG